ACGGCCGGCUGGGCGAGCGACCCAUGGCGUCCAUGGUGCUCGGCCUGGUGCUCGCCCUGGACCUCCUCGCCUUCGUCCUCGCCAUCGCCGGAGAGCUGCCCCGGAGAACGGUAAGCAAGUACUCCUGUAUAUGUACGUACAUAUGCUUAACAUUAGGAUUUUCUGAUUGGGGAAAGUGCAGGCGUACGUGAACGUGUUGGUGUUCGACGACGAACCCGAGAGGCCCUUCUGCCUGUACGGACACGAGACGGACGCGUCGGCGUGGUACGGCCCCGGCG
RNAcentral lists this long non-coding RNA (278 nucleotides) under Hordeum vulgare. RNAcentral's name for it is "long non-coding RNA (HVUL_LNC005929)". The record is from RNAcentral. Lineage: Eukaryota; Viridiplantae; Streptophyta; Magnoliopsida; Poales; Poaceae.